This 253-nucleotide ribosomal RNA is filed under the name uncultured bacterium. RNAcentral describes it as "partial 16S ribosomal RNA". It matches the Rfam family "Bacterial small subunit ribosomal RNA", at positions 96 to 353 of the family's 1533-position model. The record is from RNAcentral.
UGGCGGACGGGUGAGUAAUGUCUGGGAAACUGCCUGAUGAGGGGAUAACUACUGAAACGGUAGCUAAUACCGCAUAACGUCGCAAGACCAAAGAGGGGGACCUUCGGGCCUCUUGCCAUCGGAUGUGCCCAGAUGGGAUUAGCUAGUAGGUGAGGUAACGGCUCACCUAGGCGACGAUCCCUAGCUGGUCUGAGAGGAUGACCAGCCACACUGGAACUGAGACACGGUCCAGACUCCUACGGGAGGCAGCAUG